Non-coding RNA from Salmo salar (Atlantic salmon), 3467 nucleotides. Lineage: Eukaryota; Metazoa; Chordata; Actinopteri; Salmoniformes; Salmonidae. The record is from RefSeq and is a predicted model, not a curated record.
UGGAACAACAUGGGGUACAAAGAAAAUGAAAACGCAUUUAUUGGCAUAAAAGUUACAAAAAAACAAAUUUGAAGAUUAAAAUUUCAACUCAAAAUAAUUUAAAAAAUGUUCCCAGAAAAUUGAAAUGCUUAAAGGUUAUCAGUAAAAUGAUUUAUCGAGUAAAGCAACAUUUUAAUUUUGGAGAUUGUAUUUUUAUAAAAAAAUUAUGUUAGUAAAUGAUUCAAUGGAUGUACCAUCCAAAGCAUCUAUUGUAAUUUACAUCAAAAGUUUUUACGAUUAUCUUAGUGUAAUUUAUUACUUGUUGCAUUACAAUAGAUCAAAAAAUGAAAUGGACAACAUUUACAUAAUUUCUGGGAUUUAUAUUUCUUCAGUUAAUAUGGAAAACCUCUAUAUUAAACCUUUGUACAGAAUUAUGGAUCCCAAUAUUGCGUCUGCUAUUAAAACAGGAAGUCUAAAAGUGUCUUUUUGCAAGAAUAAAAUGGGCAAGACAGAAUUUCUCUCAUAUGCUCAAUUAGAUAAUCUGGUAUCAAAGUCACUAGACUUCCGUCAGGCUCUUAUAUACUUAAUCACUGGAAAUCAAGAUGGACUACUUUUUCAUCUGCGUAAUGAAUUUGAUGCAACUGCUUUAGUUGCAGUGUUAUUCUCAGAGGUAAUCAGAAAUCCAGUGAUGAUAGUUAUGAACCUAAUUCCAAUGAAAAUGGACACAUUACGCACAUGGAUGGACUUCCAUCAACACCUUCCACCUCUAGCUGGUGGAACCUGGAAAAAAAAAAGUCACCAGGCGUAUUGUGAUAAAUUUACACUAAGACUACACAAUUUUUAAAAAACUUAGUCAAAGGUAAGGAAAUCAGAAAUUUUGACAUAGACAUUUCAGACAUUAUUUUUAUUGCUUGAUUACAUAAUCUAGAAUAUAUACUUCCUACAAUAUAACUAUAAAAAACUUGCUAGAACAUAAACUAGAAUAUGACCUUACGAGAACAUAAACUAGAAUGUGAACUUACUACAAUAUUGUCACGGUUUCUUAAGGCAGGAGGAAAGGGCAGAGUCAAAAGCAGGAGACGUAGUCCAGUAGUGUCGUAGAACGGUAUAUUUAUUGCACCGAAAAACCACUCGGCGUAACAAAAGGGCAUAGGGUGCGCCCAGAGAACACAGUAAACCCCGAGAAAACAAAAAUACGCACGGGGCGCAGCCCGGCAAAUACAACAUUCCUCUAGCAGGAAUCCGCUGGGGGAGAAUUGUGCAAAAGCACAGACCGUUCACAUACCUGCCCGCUGACGAACAAACAAUCCCGCACAGAGACGAACCCAAAGAAACAAACUAAAUACCUCCCCACUAAUGACAGACAAGAGACAGGUGCGGUCUAGAUCAGACAAAAAACAAAGAACACAGAAACAUAGAUCGGUGGCAGCUAGUAGACCGGCGACGACGACCGCCGAGCGCCGCCCGACCGAGGAGGGGCGCCAUCCUCGGUGGAUACUGUGACAAAUAUAUACUAGAAUAUUAACUUACUACAAUCUAAACUAUAAAAAACUUACUAGAACAUAAACUAGAAUAUUAACUUACUAGAACAUAAACUAGAAUAUGAUUUUACUACAAUAUAAACUAUAAAAAAAACUUACUACAACAAACUAUAAUAUGACCUUACGAGAACAUAAAAUAGAAUAUGAACUUACUACAAUCUAAACUAUAAAAAAACUUGCUAGAACAUAAACUAGAAUAUGAUCUUACUACAAUCUAAACUAUAAAAAAACUUACUAGAACAUAAACUAGAAUAUGAACUUACUACAAUCUAAACUAUAAAAAACUUACUAGAACAUAAACUAGAAUAUGAAUUUACUACAAUAUAAACUAUAAAAAAAAUUACUAGAAUAACAGCUACCGUUAUAUUGAUAUCGAAUUACAAAUAUUGGUACCCAAAAUUCAUCUUCAUUGUACCCCAUGUUGUUCCACCUCCACUUCCAGGAGGAGCCAGGUGGGGCCACAGAGCAGGCUACUCCAUCUUCUGCCGCCAACUCUGUCAGUCCACCAGACCCAACAAUGCAGUCUCCACACCACUGCAGUAACAGCCAUAUCUUCACAUCACAAAGCUUCAGUACUAUCUGAAUGUGUUGAAGUACCAUCCAGCAUCAUGUGGCAACCGCAAUGUGAAUCAAAUCAAAUAAACUAGAAUAUACAUCCGCACUGACCCGUGAAUCCGCACUGACCCAUGAUCACCACCGACCCGGGCUCUACAGAGGCAGCCUUGGAUGCCCAGGCUUUGCACACGUUCAAGGACACAAGAUUUUGAAGAAUCCCAGUGAGCAAAAUGCUACUCCAUCUUCUGCCGCCAACUCUGUCAGUCCACCAGACCCAACAAUGCAGUCUCCACACCACUGCAGUAACAGCCAUAUCUUCACAUCACAAAGCUUCAGUACUAUCUGAAUGUGUUGAAGUACCAUCCAGCAUCAUGUGGCAACCGCAAUGUGAAUCAAAUCAAAUAAACUAGAAUAUACAUCCGCACUGACCCGUGAAUCCGCACUGACCCAUGAUCACCACCGACCCGGGCUCUACAGAGGCAGCCUUGGAUGCCCAGGCUUUGCACACGUUCAAGGACACAAGAUUUUGAAGAAUCCCAGUGAGCAAAAUGCUACUCCAUCUUCUGCCGCCAACUCUGUCAGUCCACCAGACCCAACAAUGCAGUCUCCACACCACUGCAGUAACAGCCAUAUCUUCACAUCACAAAGCUUCAGUACUAUCUGAAUGUGUUGAAGUACCAUCCAGCAUCAUGUGGCAACCGCAAUGUGAAUCAAAUCAAAUAAACUAGAAUAUACAUCCGCACUGACCCGUGAAUCCGCACUGACCCAUGAUCACCACCGACCCGGGCUCUACAGAGGCAGCCUUGGAUGCCCAGGCUUUGCACACGUUCAAGGACACAAGAUUUUGAAGAAUCCCAGUGAGCAAAAUGCUACUCCAUCUUCUGCCGCCAACUCUGUCAGUCCACCAGACCCAACAAUGCAGUCUCCACACCACUGCAGUAACAGCCAUAUCUUCACAUCACAAAGCUUCAGUACUAUCUGAAUGUGUUGAAGUACCAUCCAGCAUCAUGUGGCAACCGCAAUGUGAAUCAAAUCAAAUAAACUAGAAUAUACAUCCGCACUGACCCGUGAAUCCGCACUGACCCAUGAUCACCACCGACCCGGGCUCUACAGAGGCAGCCUUGGAUGCCCAGGCUUUGCACACGUUCAAGGACACAAGAUUUUGAAGAAUCCCAGUGAGCAAAAUUAAUGGCCUCCCAAGACCACCACACAGAUGACUCUCAGCACACCAGACCGCAGGGACCGAUAAGAUGUGAUUGGAUGUUCAGCAGGAUGUGGACCUCGCCACGUCAUCUGGCCACAGAAGAUAAAGGCUAAUGGAUCUGACAGAGAUAGUGAUUUGUUUGGAUUUGAUUUGAUGUAAUAUUCUACAUUAAAAAAGAGACAAACAUA